UGGGGAAUUUUGGACAAUGGGGGAAACCCUGAUCCAGCCAUCCCGCGUGUGCGAUGAAGGCCUUCGGGUUGUAAAGCACUUUUGGCAGGAAAGAAACGUCGCGGGUUAAUACCCCGCGAAACUGACGGUACCUGCAGAAUAAGCACCGGCUAACUACGUGCCAGCAGCCGCGGUAAUACGUAGGGUGCAAGCGUUAAUCGGAAUUACUGGGCGUAAAGCGUGCGCAGGCGGUUCGGAAAGAAAGAUGUGAAAUCCCAGAGCUUAACUUUGGAACUGCAUUUUUAACUACCGGGCUAGAGUGUGUCAGAGGGAGGUGGAAUUCCGCGUGUAGCAGUGAAAUGCGUAGAUAUGCGGAGGAACACCGAUGGCGAAGGCAGCCUCCUGGGAUAACACUGACGCUCAUGCACGAAAGCGUGGGGAGCAAACAGGAUUAGAUACCCUGGUAGUCCACGCCCUAAAACGAUGUCAAACUAGCUGUUGGGGGCCUUUCGGGCCUUUGGUAGCGCAGCUAAACGCGUGAAGUUUGACCGCCUGGGGGAGUACGGUUGCAAGAUUAAAAACUC
RNAcentral lists this ribosomal RNA (563 nucleotides) under uncultured bacterium. Its description in RNAcentral is "partial 16S ribosomal RNA". It matches the Rfam family "Bacterial small subunit ribosomal RNA", at positions 355 to 902 of the family's 1533-position model. The record is from RNAcentral.